GGAUUAGGCAUGCAAGUCGGACGGGAUCUCUUGGAUCUGAUCCUUCGGGUGAAGAACCUUGAGUGAGAGUGGCGAAAGGGUGAGUAACACGUGGGUAAUCUGCCCUGAAACUCGGGAUAGCCCUUGGAAACGAGGAGUAAUACCGAAUAUGGUCGUCUCGGGCAUCCGAGAUUGAUCAAAGAUGGGGAUCCUUCGGGACCCAUCGCUUGGAGAGGGGCCCGCGCGCUAUUAGCUAGUUGGUGAGGUAACGGCUCACCAAGGCUCAUGGCUAGCUGGUCUGAGAGGGUGAUCGGCCACACUGGGACUGAGACACUGCCCAGACUCCUACGGGAGGCUGCAGUCGAGAAUCAUUCGCAAUGCCCGAAAGG
This 368-nucleotide ribosomal RNA is filed under the name uncultured anaerobic ammonium-oxidizing bacterium. Its description in RNAcentral is "bacterial SSU rRNA". It matches the Rfam family "Bacterial small subunit ribosomal RNA", at positions 46 to 382 of the family's 1533-position model. The record is from RNAcentral.